UCUAUGGAUGUUAACAAGGAAUCAUUUUUCUCACAGCUCUCCUGGCUGAUGAGCGUGUCCGCAUAGUUGGGCUGCGGGAAGAUCAGAUGACUCUUCCUUGAGUCUGCGGUGAGGGAGACCUCAUGCGAAUAGGUCUGCAGGAAAGCCUGUACUCCUUCAACACCAACGAAGCUUGAGGCCUGUAACCCUACCAACCCUCCACCUGAUGUCUGGAGCAGACUUGACUUGUGACACCGCCACAGUCUGAGUGCCAGCAGUGUGAUGACAAAGGCAAGGAAGACGCAGGAGACCACAGCUACCGCCACUACCAGCUGUGGAGAUCAUCUUAUGGAAAGUUGGGCUGUACCAAAUUUAGAGGCGCAGUUUCGCCGCAGCCCAGCAGUUGGUUUGUGGGAUCUGCGGUCUUUGUGAUGAGCGAGCACUGGAUAUCCGGGAGGCGUUUGGUUACAUUUUCUCCAACUCUCCUGGCUGAUGAGCGUGUCCGCAUAGUUGGGCUGCGGGAAGAUCAGGUGACUUUUCCUUGAGUCUGCGGUGAGGGAGACCUCAUGCGAAUAGGUCUGCAGGAAAGCCUGUACCCCGU
Molecule: long non-coding RNA, 580 nt
Organism: Talpa occidentalis (Iberian mole)
Lineage: Eukaryota; Metazoa; Chordata; Mammalia; Eulipotyphla; Talpidae
Exons: 3
Source: RefSeq, a predicted model, not a curated record